GUUACAUCAUAGUAAAUUAUAAAAGAAAUUGCCGCGUGUAAGUCGCCAUAAUAUGAAGUUUUCAACACUAAAUUAGACAAUGAAAUAUCUUAUCCUUAUUUUCCUCAUUAUUUUCCGUGUCAAGGCAUCUAGAGUGCUUUGCAGAGAAAAGGCAAAACAGUUCUGUGCUAAGAGCUUUAAUACUAUUGCCACACCCGAUACAGAAAAAUUCUGCAGGUUAGGAGCCAGGCACUAU
Octopus bimaculoides (California two-spot octopus) is the source of this 235-nucleotide long non-coding RNA. The record is from RefSeq and is a predicted model, not a curated record. Lineage: Eukaryota; Metazoa; Mollusca; Cephalopoda; Octopoda; Octopodidae.